AGUGAACGCUGGCGGUAGGCCUAACACAUGCAAGUCGAACGGCAGCACAGUAAGAGCUUGCUCUUACGGGUGGCGAGUGGCGGACGGGUGAGGAAUACAUCGGAAUCUACUUUUUCGUGGAUAACGUAGGGAAACUUACGCUAAUACCGCAUACGACCUACGGGUGAAAGCAGGGGAUCUUCGGACCUUGCGCGAUUGAAUGAGCCGAUGUCGGAUUAGCUAGUUGGCGGGGUAAAGGCCCACCAAGGCGACGAUCCGUAGCUGGUCUGAGAGGAUGAUCAGCCACACUGGAACUGAGACACGGUCCAGACUCCUACGGGAGGCAGCAGUGGGGAAUAUUGGACAAUGGGCGCAAGCCUGAUCCAGCCAUACCGCGUGGGUGAAGAAGGCCUUCGGGUUGUAAAGCCCUUUUGUUGGGAAAGAAAAGCAGCAGGUUAAUACCCCGCUGUUCUGACGGUACCCAAAGAAUAAGCACCGGCUAACUUCGUG
RNAcentral lists this ribosomal RNA (489 nucleotides) under uncultured bacterium. Its description in RNAcentral is "partial 16S ribosomal RNA". It matches the Rfam family "Bacterial small subunit ribosomal RNA", at positions 29 to 507 of the family's 1533-position model. The record is from RNAcentral.